CCCGGAAACAAAUGAGAAAACUUACCAUUUAAGUAAUGUAAAAAAAUAUAGGUUCUUAAAGUUUGAAGGUUACAUGCAUGUCUAAAAUUGGCAGGCAUCCCUGGUCAGUAUGUGAAUGUGUUCUAUCUAUAGUAAUUUUCAGCCACACAGUAUUUAUUGGAUGAACUUGGUAGUAUAUAGAAAAGGAUCAUGUAUUUUCUGUUAAAAAGGUUGGGUGGUGACCACCUUGUAUUUAUUGGAUGAACUUGGUAGUAUAUAGAAAAGGAUCAUGUAUUUUCUGUUAAAGAGAUUGGGUGGUGACCACCUUGUAUUUAUUGGAUGAACUUGGUAGUAUAUAGAAAAGGAUUAUGUAUUUUCUGUUAAAGAGGUUGGGUGGUGACCACCUUGUAUUUAUUGGAUGAACUUGGUAGUAUAUAGAAAAGGAUCAUGUAUUUUCUGUUAAAGAGGUUGGGUGGUGACCACCUUGU
This 467-nucleotide long non-coding RNA is filed under the name Mytilus galloprovincialis (Mediterranean mussel). The record is from RNAcentral. Lineage: Eukaryota; Metazoa; Mollusca; Bivalvia; Mytilida; Mytilidae.